UAGUAAUAUAAGACCCAUGAUUACUUUAUCUAUUUCUGUCACAUGAAAACGAUGGGAAAGAAAGGAGAAAACACAUAAAUCAGGCUGAUUUUUUUUGAGAUGAAGUAAGCAGUUACUUUUGCUAUUAUUAUUUUCUUGUGCCUUUUUCAGACAGGAAGAUCAUGGGGUGAAUGCCACUGGCUUCAGCAGAGUAAAUCCUGCAUAUACUGUGGUAAGGCUAAUCCCGUAAAUCACAUAUUCACUAAAGAAUGGGAAUGCCUUAACAAAAUCAGUGAUUUCCAGCCUUUGCAAGCCAGGAGGAAAACAACUAAGCAAGGGUCUUUCUGUCCACUUGUCAGAAAGCAUUCAUCAGAGAACUCCCACCAGAGACCAGAUCUAGCAACUGUCCAGGACAGCUGCAGAAAAAUGAAGAAGCAACUGAAUUUUGCAGGCCAGGUUAUGGUCUCCACGUCAGCAACAUAAAUCCUGAAAAUUGUUUCAACUGUUAAUACUUAGCGGUUUCAUAAGCUCUAUGCCUUCCAGAACUGCUGAGUCCUCUGAGCAUGCACUCCACUGGUCAGGAAAGCCCAUGAGGCACUUGCUUCUCCUCUGAUUGCAGCAGUUCUAUUUCAGUAACUAGAGAUCGGUCAUCAAAAUCUCUUGAAUGUGCAGGUUCCUAGAUGUGCCUUGAUAAGUAAAGCAAAGUAACAGUGAUGAUGCCUCCCACAUGCCAGUUUUACUCCCAGUCAGCUCCAUCAAUUUUAUGGAGGGAAUGUGGAUAGAAGAAGCCUUCAGCACUGUGCAAAAAACAGUUAAUAACGUUUGUAGGUUUUUUCAUAAUUAAACAAGUUAAUUUAGUUUAAAAUGUACCAAACAUUUUUCAGCACUAAUUUGUUUAUGUCAAUUCAAUUUUAAAAGUCUCUGUUAGAAACAACAGCUAAAUCAAGUGUCUUUCAAUUAUGGAAGGCUCUAAUUUAUCUGCAGUUUAAUGUGCCUAGAUAUUAUUAGCUUCACUUACGCUAAUAAUAUCUAGGCACAUAGUCCUAUGUGAAAACUCAUUGUUGGGCACUUGUCAUAUCUUCUCUUCCACCUCUGUAUCAGACCAGGUACAAUGCAAGUUGAGGGUUUUAUGUGUGAGUUCAAAAAAGGUGCUUCUCCUUUAAUUUCAUUUUUUUUAAUGUGAGUUUUGGACCUUUUUAGACCAGAAAAGAACAUCAGAAAAUACCUCUUGUAAACAAGAAGUGGUUAAGUAUUUUGCUUGGAGACAGAGUUCCUAUGUCUUUGGGAACAAUGUUACUUGAAACGUUUGUUAUCUCUUCCUCUUUUAAACAGUUAAAUAAAGAGACCUUAAGCCAAAGGUUCA
RNAcentral lists this long non-coding RNA (1342 nucleotides) under Calidris pygmaea (Spoon-billed sandpiper). RNAcentral describes it as "lncRNA (ENSCPGG00000007964.1)". The record is from RNAcentral. Lineage: Eukaryota; Metazoa; Chordata; Aves; Charadriiformes; Scolopacidae.